UGGGGAAUAUUGGGCAAUGGGGGAAACCCUGACCCAGCAACGCCGCGUGAAGGAAGAAGGUUUUCGGAUUGUAAACUUCUGUCCUCAGGGAAGAAACAAAUGACGGUACCUGAGGAGGAAGCCCCGGCUAACUACGUGCCAGCAGCCGCGGUAAUACGUAGGGGGCAAGCGUUGUCCGGAAUUACUGGGCGUAAAGGGAGCGUAGGCGGUUUGUUAAGUUGGAUGUGAAAUACCCGGGCUUAACCCGGGAGGUGCAUACAAAACUGGCAGACUUGAGUGUGGGAGAGGAAAGUGGAAUUCCUAGUGUAGCGGUGAAAUGCGUAGAUAUUAGGAGGAACACCAGUGGCGAAGGCGACUUUCUGGACCAUAACUGACGCUGAGGCUCGAAAGCGUGGGGAGCAAACAGG
Molecule: ribosomal RNA, 407 nt
Filed under: uncultured prokaryote
Also listed under: 1 other name
Description: bacterial SSU rRNA
Rfam family: Bacterial small subunit ribosomal RNA
Source: RNAcentral